This 253-nucleotide ribosomal RNA is filed under the name uncultured bacterium. RNAcentral describes it as "partial 16S ribosomal RNA". It matches the Rfam family "Bacterial small subunit ribosomal RNA", at positions 524 to 776 of the family's 1533-position model. The record is from RNAcentral.
GACGAACCGUGCGAACGUUGUUCGGAAUCACUGGGCUUAAAGGGCGCGUAGGCGGGCUACCAAGUCAGGGGUGAAAUCCUGCGGCUCAACCGUAGAAGUGCCUUUGAUACUGAAGAUCUUGAGUCCGGGAGAGGUGUGUGGAACUGCGAGUGUAGAGGUGAAAUUCGUAGAUAUUCGCAAGAACACCAGUGGCGAAGGCGGCUCACUGGCCCGGUACUGACGCUGAGGCACGAAAGCGUGGGGAGCAAACAGG